UCGCAAAAGCUUUCGCUGUUAAGGUUUUCUAAUAUUUGGAGUAGGCUAAACAUUUGCUGUAUAGAUACAAAGUAAGACCGUACGUGUGUCCCCCAGACCUAGCUUUCUACCUACUUGUAUUAUAA
This 125-nucleotide small nucleolar RNA is filed under the name Sorex araneus (European shrew). Its description in RNAcentral is "Small nucleolar RNA SNORA72 (ENSSARG00000020105.1)". The record is from RNAcentral. Lineage: Eukaryota; Metazoa; Chordata; Mammalia; Eulipotyphla; Soricidae.